RNAcentral lists this ribosomal RNA (468 nucleotides) under uncultured bacterium. RNAcentral's name for it is "partial 16S ribosomal RNA". It matches the Rfam family "Bacterial small subunit ribosomal RNA", at positions 28 to 507 of the family's 1533-position model. The record is from RNAcentral.
GACGAACGCUGGCGGCGUGCUUAACACAUGCAAGUCGAACGGAAAGGCCCUGCUUGUGUGGGGUUCUCGAGUGGCGAACGGGUGAGUAACACGUGAGUAACCUGCCCUUCACUUUGGGAUAACUUCACGAAACUGGGGCUAAUAUCGUAUAGGAGCUCCUGCUGCAUGGUGGGGGUUGGAUAGUUUCGGCGGGUGGGGUUGGACUCGCGGCUUAUCAGCUUGUUGGUGGGGUAGUGGCUUACCAAGGCUUGGACGGGUAGCCGGCCUGAGAGGGUGACCGGCCACAUUGGGACUGAGAUACGGCCCAGACUCCUACGGGAGGCAGCAGUGGGGAAUAUUGCACAAUGGGCGGAAGCCUGAUGCAGCAACGCCGCGUGCGGGAUGACGGCCUUCGGGUUGUAAAACGCUUUCGCCUGUGACGAAGCGUGAGUGACGGUAAUGGGUAAAGAAGCACCGGCUAACUACGUG